GAUCGCGUAGCUCAGUUGGCAGAGCAUUGGACUAGUAUUCCAAAGGUUGUAGGUUCGAUUUCCACCGUGGUCA
This 73-nucleotide transfer RNA is filed under the name Paramuricea clavata. It matches the Rfam family "tRNA". From Rfam's summary of the family: Transfer RNA (tRNA) molecules are approximately 80 nucleotides in length. Their secondary structure includes four short double-helical elements and three loops (D, anti-codon, and T loops). The record is from Rfam by way of RNAcentral. Lineage: Eukaryota; Metazoa; Cnidaria; Anthozoa; Malacalcyonacea; Plexauridae.